GAUGAACGCUGGCGGCGUGCCUAAUACAUGCAAGUCGAGCGAACGGACGAGAAGCUUGCUUUUCUGAUGUUAGCGGCGGACGGGUGAGUAACACGUGGAUAACCUACCUAUAAGACUGGGAUAACUUCGGGAAACCGGAGCUAAUACCGGAUAAUAUUUUGAACCGCAUGGUUCAAAAGUGAAAGACGGUCUUGCUGUCACUUAUAGAUGGAUCCGCGCUGCAUUAGCUAGUUGGUAAGGUAACGGCUUACCAAGGCAACGAUGCAUAGCCGACCUGAGAGGGUGAUCGGCCACACUGGAACUGAGACACGGUCCAGACUCCUACGGGAGGCAGCAGUAGGGAAUCUUCCGCAAUGGGCGAAAGCCUGACGGAGCAACGCCGCGUGAGUGAUGAAGGUCUUCGGAUCGUAAAACUCUGUUAUUAGGGAAGAACAUAUGUGUAAGUAACUGUGCACAUCUUGACGGUACCUAAUCAGAAAGCCACGGCUAACUACGUGCCAGCAGCCGCGGUAAUACGUAGGUGGCAAGCGUUAUCCGGAAUUAUUGGGCGUAAAGCGCGCGUAGGCGGUUUUUUAAGUCUGAUGUGAAAGCCCACGGCUCAACCGUGGAGGGUCAUUGGAAACUGGAAAACUUGAGUGCAGAAGAGGAAAGUGGAAUUCCUUGUGUAGCGGUGAAAUGCGCAGAGAUGUGGAGGAACACCAGUGGCGAAGGCGACUUUCUGGUCUGUAACUGACGCUGAUGUGCGAAAGCGUGGGGAUCAAACAGGAUUAGAUACCCUGGUAGUCCACGCCGUAAACGAUGAGUGCUAAGUGUUAGGGGGUUUCCGCCCCUUAGUGCUGCAGCUAACGCAUUAAGCACUCCGCCUGGGGAGUACGACCGCAAGGUUGAAACUCAAAGGAAUUGACGGGGGCCCGCACAGGCGGUGGAGCAUGUGGUUUAAUUCGAAGCAACGCGAAGAACCUUACCAAAUCUUGACAUCCUUUGACAACUCUAGAGAUAGAGCCUUCCCCUUCGGGGGACAAAGUGACAGGUGGUGCAUGGUUGUCGUCAGCUCGUGUCGUGAGAUGUUGGGUUAAGUCCCGCCACGAGCGCAACCCUUAAGCUUAGUUGCCAUCAUUAAGUUGGGCACUCUAAGUUGACUGCCGGUGACAAACCGGAGGAAGGUGGGGAUGACGUCAAAUCAUCUUGCCUCUUAUGAUUUGGGCUACACCCCUGCCUACAUGGACAAUACAAAGGGCACCGAAACCGCGAAGCCAAGCCAAUCCCAUAAAGUUGGUCUCAGUUCGGAUUGGAGUCCGCAACUCUACUACAUGGAAGCUGGAAUCCCUAAUAAACCUACAAUCAGCAUGGCUACCGUGAAUUACUUUCCCGGGGU
Molecule: ribosomal RNA, 1375 nt
Filed under: uncultured bacterium
Lineage: Bacteria
Description: bacterial SSU rRNA
Rfam family: Bacterial small subunit ribosomal RNA
Source: RNAcentral